GAUCAGCAUAUGCAGGGGCAUACAUUGUAUGUGACGGAACUCCCAGCAGGAAGACUUGCAAAGGUGAUUUCCCUUUC
The submitters of this non-coding RNA (77 nucleotides) gave its source as unclassified sequences. The record is from Rfam.